Non-coding RNA from Penaeus monodon (black tiger shrimp), 72 nucleotides. NCBI's taxonomy places the organism in Eukaryota, Metazoa, Arthropoda, Malacostraca, Decapoda, Penaeidae. The record is from the annotation of a RefSeq genome assembly.
GUCCUUGUGGCGUAGUGGUUAUCGCGAUUGCCUUAAAAGCAGUAGACUCGGGUUCGAUUCCCGAUGAGGACG